AUUGAACGCUGGCGGCAGGCUUAACACAUGCAAGUCGAGCGGGGUGAUGGUGCUUGCACUAUCACUUAGCGGCGGACGGGUGAGUAAUGCUUAGGAAUCUGCCUAUUAGUGGGGGACAACAUCUCGAAAGGGAUGCUAAUACCGCAUACGUCCUACGGGAGAAAGCAGGGGAUCACUUGUGACCUUGCGCUAAUAGAUGAGCCUAAGUCGGAUUAGCUAGUUGGUGGGGUAAAGGCCUACCAAGGCGACGAUCUGUAGCGGGUCUGAGAGGAUGAUCCGCCACACUGGGACUGAGACACGGUCCAGACUCCUACGGGAGGCAGCAGUGGGGAAUUUUGGACAAUGGGGGCAACCCUGAUCCAGCAAUGCCGCGUGAGUGAAGAAGGCCUUCGGGUUGUAAAGCUCUUUUGUCAGGGAAGAAACGGUGAAGGCUAAUAUCCUUUGCUAAUGACGGUACCUGAAGAAUAAGCACCGGCUAACUACGUGCCAGCAGCCGCAGUAA
This 502-nucleotide ribosomal RNA is filed under the name uncultured bacterium. RNAcentral's name for it is "partial 16S ribosomal RNA". It matches the Rfam family "Bacterial small subunit ribosomal RNA", at positions 30 to 523 of the family's 1533-position model. The record is from RNAcentral.